RNAcentral lists this ribosomal RNA (426 nucleotides) under uncultured bacterium. RNAcentral's name for it is "bacterial SSU rRNA". It matches the Rfam family "Bacterial small subunit ribosomal RNA", at positions 8 to 424 of the family's 1533-position model. The record is from RNAcentral.
AGAGUUUGAUCCUGGCUCAGAUUGAACGCUGGCGGCGUGCUUAACACAUGCAAGUCGUGCGAGAAAGGGGACUUCGGUCCCUGAGUAGAGCGGCGCACGGGUGAGUAACGCGUGGAUUAUCUACCCAGAUAUUCGGGAUAACGGCGGGAAACUGCCGCUAAUACCGGAUACGCUCCAAUUUCGGUUGGGGGAAAGGCGGCCUCUGCUUGCAAGCUGUUGUAUCUGGAUGAGUCCGCGUCCCAUUAGCUUGUUGGUGGGGUAAUGGCCUACCAAGGCGACGAUGGGUAGCUGGUCUGAGAGGAUGAUCAGCCACACUGGAACUGAAACACGGUCCAGACUCCUACGGGAGGCAGCAGUGGGGAAUAUUGCGCAAUGGGGGAAACCCUGACGCAGCGACGCCGUGUGAGGGAAGAAGGCUUUCGGGUC